Molecule: long non-coding RNA, 3380 nt
Organism: Carassius gibelio (silver crucian carp)
Lineage: Eukaryota; Metazoa; Chordata; Actinopteri; Cypriniformes; Cyprinidae
Exons: 4
Source: RefSeq, a predicted model, not a curated record
AUUAGAUUAUAGGUCAGCGGCUGCUGUCUGGCUCUUGUGUAACGGUCGGUGCGCGCGCUCUCGUGUGUGUGUGUGUGUGUGUGUGUGUGAAUCAUAGUUCACCUUAGUUGAACUUGUGUGAUCUAGUUCACGGUAGUGUAAGGCUUUUCGUCCGUUGGCUGUUGGGAGGAUGAACAUCUCUUCUUGAUCAUUACAAAAACCAAACUAACGUUACCCUUAAAAGACGCAGUGUGUCGUCAUGUUUUUUGUGUGUAGAUGAGAAGGUUUUGAUAGUUUUCUCGCAGACAGACUGCAUUAACGGUCGUGUGUAAACCUCCGCGCGACAGAACAUUUCAGCCUGAACUUGGAGAAUAAAAACGGUCGUCGUGAUUUACCCAACGACUCCCUUCAAGUUUCUUUUGUUUGUUUGUUUUGCCGUUGGCCGUUUCUAACGACAGCUAAAGGAGCACGAAUGACCCAGACGAGGCUGAGAAGCGGACUCAAGCGAAUAAUUGGGGCUUGAAAUGGCGAAAAUCUCUUUCGGACUCAACCCAGAGAUGGAAUGUACGUCCUCCUUUUAUCUGGUUCGGGGAUUUUGGAUGACACUGACAGACAUGUGUGUUGCAGGACCACGCAGACCUUUACUGUACUGUAGCACAGCUGCCCCACCCUUGCGAAAUUAUGCAGUCGUAUCCCGAUGGAUCCGAAACGCAGACGCUAAUCCUUACUGAUUUCAUCUGGAAUUAUUGAGCUCUUGAACUUUUUUCUCUUAUGGACACAAAAUCAUUUUAACCUUAUGUGAUAUUGUUGCUUCAAAUGAUGGUACUAUUACUGCUCUAGAAAAAGCUGUUUUGAAACAUCAUUUUCUUUUUUUCUGUAGAAUUGCAGAUUCUUUAAAAUGUUUUAGUUUGCAGUGUUAGGAAAGGGAUGAGAAAAUCUUAAACAAUACCAUACCAGGUGCUUGGGCUUAUGAUUAAUAAAUGGAAGAGAAAAACAGUUGUCCUCAAAUUAACUGACAGGACAAAGACAACAGCAAACAUAAAUAUAGUUCGCAUCGCAAAUUUUCUCAGAGCAAGAACAAGGUGUGUGUGUGUGUGUGUGUAAUUAUGGCAUAUUCCAAGUUUGUGGUAAAAUUGAAUCACACCCACAGAAUCAGUUAAAACAUGUUGUAGUAAAUUAUCAGUUUUUAUUUCUUUAAUGUAAUCCAUCAUAACUCUCAUUUAUUUGUAUUAUUAUAGUUUGAAAGACACUUUCAUUUCAGACAGUAACAGUGAAGAGUCAAGGUAGUUAUCUUUUUAUUUAUUUAUUUCUCAUUCAUUUUAUUUGUGUUAAAUAAUAUUCAAAUAUGAAUUAGUUUAAAAUAUGAUCACUUUUCAGUUGCUGGUUUUAAUGCUUUAAUUAUAAAAAAAACAACUAGUGCAAUUCUUUAUAGACCAAUCUUAUACGGAAUCUUGUCUUUAAAUGAACAAAUCUUUUAAAUGAAAUACAUUAUUAUUAUUGUUGUUGUCAGUUGGUGUCAGAGAGCUCCGCUCAUGUUUCUGUCAGUGCCGCGGCGAGCCGUAAGGGUCAUUAAGCGUCUUCUGACGGCAGGCAGAGGUCAAGGGAGUUAAUCGGAGUUGAUGGAGGGGCCCUCUGAGUGACAGUCCUAAGGGGCUCACCUCUUAAUCUCUGUUUGUCUGUGUUUUAGUACUCUUUACCUACACAAAGCAAACAGCACCCUCCCUCUCAAUGGGAACCAGCCUGCUCGCAGUCUAGCACUUCUGACCUGUGGGUCGUGCCCUUUGUUCCUCUCUCUACAGAGGCUGACCUCAGAUUUCACCUCUGUAAUUGAGGAGUCCUGUAGACACGUGCCCAGGGGGGCCCAGGAGAGACCACCACCGCUGCAAGCUCACUGCUACCUCUGCGUCGGAGGAAAAGGGUGUCUGAAAAUGACGUUUCCUAUGAGUCCCAAGCAAAAAAUACAUGUUUGGCCGAUCAGAUCUUUCAGUGGUUUACUGAUAAAUUUCCCAGCUGUUUUUUGUCAUGUUGUGUUAAAUGUGGCUUUAUUGGCUUAAACAUCUUCUAAACAUACACUGGGCCUUAACAAAUCCACUUGGUCAGGUUUAUGUGGGUUUGUUUUUAUUAAACAUACAUUUUUCUCUAAAUAUAUAUGUAUACUCUAGAUAUUUUGCGGUAGAUUUAGACACUGAUGUACAUUUCAGAUCUUAAAAAUGUUGCUUUUUCUGUGGAACUCCAACUCUCAUUUGAUGAACUAGGCCACCAACCAGGAUUGAAAUGCGUCUCACUUCUUUAAUCUGUGCCAGGCUUGUCUUGUUGUGUUUUAAUUAAUUUUUUUGCUUCAUGGGAGUGUUAUGUUGUCUAUAUUGAGACGCUGUUGUUUUUGUCUGUUUGUUUUUUUUUUUCUCUUCACUGAUGAAAAAUUGCAGGUUAAUGAAGCUCAUGUUAUUAGUUUUUACUCAUUGCCCAAUCCUCAAAAGCAUAAUUAUGGGUGGGAAAUUGCAGUUCAUUGAUGUGAAUCUGCAACACAUGGCUGCAAAUUCCUUAGGAUGCGUUUUUAAGUUGUUCUUGUCUGAUAGUGUUGGAAACCCUGGUGUUAAUUUGGGAGGAAAAGAAAAUAUACUCUAAAGGUCCUGCAGACAGUUAUUAGGAACUGAGAUCUCAUGAAUGGCUUGUUAAUCUUCAUUUAAUUUUUUAUUUUAGUUUGUGCUUUUGGCAUCCUCUUCAAUCGUAUGUUUAGAUCUGAUAGGGUUAAGGUGCAUUUUAGUAUUUAGUAAGGUAUUUUUUGACACAUGAAGUAAUGUUUGACAUAAUUUUCUCUUUGCUUCCGUUUAAUGUGUGUAUAUAUAUAUAUAUAUAUAUAUAUAUAUAUAUAUAUAUAUAUAUAUAUAUAUAUAUGACAUAUUUUUUGUUAUAUAUCUAUGAAUCGCAUUGGAUGGACUUAUUAAAUGCGGAAAAGUGACCAGCCCGCUGUGCUUUUUAACCUUGUGAAGACUCACUAUAGCCGUUAUCGCUCUUUGGUAACUCUAACCCCAGAACACAUACAUGCUUUUAAAUCACACGAGAGUCUUUUUAAAAUGAUCUCAGCGAUGGUGCAUUAAAGUGCUCUGAGGUUGAGCCCUGAAAAGUACCAUAAAGAGUUUGUUUUGAUUGGCGUUUGAUCAUAGUCUCUGAGCCUUGUGAAGGAUGGGGCCUUACAGAACAGCUCACUGUUUGGGAGUUGGCAGCCGACCCAAAACCAAAAUUGUAUCCUCAAAUGAACUUUAAUGCAAUGUACAACACAACACAUGCUCCAAGUCCCGACUCCCUGCUCGCAGGUCCUGUAGUAAACAAGCAAGUAAAUGAACGCCUGAGAAUCAGCAUCAGAGAAUGAGAAAUAAAACAGAUAAUGUGUUAUAAGAAAA